Molecule: non-coding RNA, 97 nt
Organism: Dioszegia hungarica
Lineage: Eukaryota; Fungi; Basidiomycota; Tremellomycetes; Tremellales; Bulleribasidiaceae
Source: the annotation of a RefSeq genome assembly
GACAACGUGCCCGAGCGGUUAAGGGGUUUGACUCGAAUUAAUGUGUCCGAUCUAUCAAAUGCGGUUUCGCGCGUAGGUUCGAAUCCUACCGUUGUCG